AUGGGGAGAGCCAGCGGCUGCAACGCCGGCGGGGAGAACGCGAUCGCGAGGGAGCUCGUGCUCAAGGUGGCCAUGCACUGCCGCUGCGACGGGUGCACGCCCAAGGUGCGCUCCGCCGUGAUGAACCUCGCGCUGGCGCCGGGCGUGCUGCAGGUGCUGGGCCGGUCGGCGACGGAGGCCACCGAGGAGGUACGGCUGAUCGCCACGGCCGACCCCGAGCGUCUCCGCAGGAGGCUCCACAAGGCCACCGGCAAGAAGGAGGUCGGCCUAGUCUUAAUCCCACCAAGGAAGACCUCCGACGGCGGCAGCAGCCACAAGAAGGGCCCUCGGCUCGUCGACGCCGCCGCGGUCCAGGCGCCGCUCGCCGACCCGCAGCUCGAGGCGCUUCUCGCUCACCUGCAGCGGCACGCUCUGCUCGCCGACCUGCAGCCGCAGGCGCCGCUGCGGGGCCAUCGUGAUCAGUACGUCGACCAUGGCGCGGCAGCCGCGUUGCCGGGCAACUACCAGCAGCAGCAGCCGAAUCUCGACUGGGACAGCUACGGCGAGGCGUCCUAUCCGUGGGUGCCACCCCACUGGCCGGCCCCGGCCGCGGCGCCGGCCCUUGAUUGGGGAGCGAACUACGGACCGGCGUGGGCUCCGCCUGGCAACUGCGACCCCAGCGCGCCGCCGUGGCACAGCGGCCUGGGCUUCUGA
RNAcentral lists this ribosomal RNA (693 nucleotides) under Triticum aestivum (bread wheat). Its description in RNAcentral is "partial small subunit ribosomal RNA". Lineage: Eukaryota; Viridiplantae; Streptophyta; Magnoliopsida; Poales; Poaceae. The record is from RNAcentral.